UGACCUAGAUACCCUACUUCUUUCCGGA
RNAcentral lists this non-coding RNA (28 nucleotides) under Bombyx mori (domestic silkworm). The record is from RNAcentral. Lineage: Eukaryota; Metazoa; Arthropoda; Insecta; Lepidoptera; Bombycidae.